Molecule: long non-coding RNA, 443 nt
Filed under: Panax ginseng (ginseng)
Lineage: Eukaryota; Viridiplantae; Streptophyta; Magnoliopsida; Apiales; Araliaceae
Description: long non-coding RNA (PGIN_LNC000289)
Source: RNAcentral
UCCUGAUUAAAAUUUAUUUUCUGAAUCUAUAAUUCUCUUGCAGUUGCAAUACUAUACCAAAGCUUUUCCCAAAGUACUAAUAAACCAGCAACUGUGUAAAAUUAUUACGCCACAUGGCUCCACCGAACAAAUUGGAUACAUGGGUAAUGUUACAAUUGCACUUGGAAUAACACAAAUAACAUAAUACUGCAAAACCAGAGUCUGAGAUAAAUGAUAACUUGGAAGUCAGUCCCUUCUCAAUAAUAUUAACAAUAUUACAUUAAGACCAAAUUAUCCAAAAACUAAAACAGUCGAGGCCACAAAACUAUCAAACAUUGUUAGAUAAUCCAAUAUCCUUUCAAUUGGACCAAAUUAUUAAUCCGCAACACCAUGUUGUCUCUCUCAUUAGUCUCAUACGUACAGGCAAGGGCAUAAACUGCAAAUAAUCCAGGAAGACCACUGCU